GAUCUUAUAGUUUAUAAAAAAAUUAUAAAUUGCAAAUUUAUAGAAAAUAUUAAUUUAUUUAAGAUCU
RNAcentral lists this transfer RNA (67 nucleotides) under Krisna furcata. RNAcentral's name for it is "tRNA-Cys". Lineage: Eukaryota; Metazoa; Arthropoda; Insecta; Hemiptera; Cicadellidae. The record is from RNAcentral.